UACGUAGGUGGCAAGCGUUAUCCGGAUUUACUGGGUGUAAAGGGCGUGUAGGCGGGAAAGCAAGUCAGAUGUGAAAACCAUGGGCUCAACCUGUGGCCUGCAUUUGAAACUGUUUUUCUUGAGUACUGGAGAGGCAGACGGAAUUCCUAGUGUAGCGGUGAAAUGCGUAGAUAUUAGGAGGAAUACCAGUGGCGAAGGCGGUCUGCUGGACAGCAACUGACGCUGAGGCGCGAAAGCGUGGGGAGCAAACAGG
This 253-nucleotide ribosomal RNA is filed under the name uncultured bacterium. Its description in RNAcentral is "partial 16S ribosomal RNA". It matches the Rfam family "Bacterial small subunit ribosomal RNA", at positions 524 to 776 of the family's 1533-position model. The record is from RNAcentral.